UGGCUUGGAGGUCGUAUGGAAGACUACUCGGCUUUUAACCGAGGGGUGCGGGUUCGAGUCCCGCCGGGCCAA
Molecule: transfer RNA, 72 nt
Filed under: Flavobacteriales bacterium
Lineage: Bacteria; Pseudomonadati; Bacteroidota; Flavobacteriia; Flavobacteriales
Description: tRNA-Lys
Rfam family: tRNA
About the family: Transfer RNA (tRNA) molecules are approximately 80 nucleotides in length. Their secondary structure includes four short double-helical elements and three loops (D, anti-codon, and T loops).
Source: RNAcentral